UACGUAGGGUGCAAGCGUUAAUCGGAAUUACUGGGCGUAAAGCGUGCGCAGGCGGUUGUGCAAGACAGAUGUGAAAUCCCCGGGCUUAACCUGGGAACUGCAUUUGUGACUGCACGGCUAGAGUGUGGCAGAGGGGGGUAGAAUUCCACGUGUAGCAGUGAAAUGCGUAGAGAUGUGGAGGAAUACCGAUGGCGAAGGCAGCCCCCUGGGAUAACACUGACGCUGAUGCACGAAAGCGUGGGGAGCAAGCAGG
RNAcentral lists this ribosomal RNA (253 nucleotides) under uncultured bacterium. RNAcentral's name for it is "partial 16S ribosomal RNA". It matches the Rfam family "Bacterial small subunit ribosomal RNA", at positions 524 to 776 of the family's 1533-position model. The record is from RNAcentral.